Molecule: ribosomal RNA, 103 nt
Filed under: Corynocarpus rupestris subsp. arborescens
Lineage: Eukaryota; Viridiplantae; Streptophyta; Magnoliopsida; Cucurbitales; Corynocarpaceae
Also listed under: 1 other name
Description: partial 5.8S ribosomal RNA
Rfam family: 5.8S ribosomal RNA
About the family: 5.8S ribosomal RNA (5.8S rRNA) is a component of the large subunit of the eukaryotic ribosome. It is transcribed by RNA polymerase I as part of the 45S precursor that also contains 18S and 28S rRNA. Functionally, it is thought that 5.8S rRNA may be involved in ribosome translocation.
Source: RNAcentral
UAUACUUGGUGUGAAUUGCAGAAUCCCGUGAACCAUCGAGUCUUUGAACGCAAGUUGCGCCCGAAGUCUUUUGGCCGAGGGCACGUCUGCCUGGGCGUCACGC